Long non-coding RNA from Zalophus californianus (California sea lion), 307 nucleotides. RefSeq lists it as uncharacterized. The transcript has 3 exons. The record is from RefSeq and is a predicted model, not a curated record. NCBI's taxonomy places the organism in Eukaryota, Metazoa, Chordata, Mammalia, Carnivora, Otariidae.
CAGGAAUACAUGUGCAGAUACCAGCGACUGCAAGUCCAUUGGAGCACACUGAAGGAUCCAGGAGUUGUGGCCAGAGCGCUGACGGCAUCUGCUACCCAUGGAGCUGUCUGGUGAAUAGCAAGUGUCGUUGUGGGCUAGAUGAACAGGGAGAAGAAAGGAGAGAGCUGCCUGCACCAAGCAAGAAACACAUUUGCCUGAUACAGCAGUCCUGCACAGUCUCACGGAUCAUUUUAUUAUCUUCCUUCAUGUGUCCUCCUCCCGAUAUUUGGCUAUCAUUCUGUCAAUUCUUUUGUGUUCCUGAUUUUAG